This 490-nucleotide ribosomal RNA is filed under the name uncultured bacterium. Its description in RNAcentral is "partial 16S ribosomal RNA". It matches the Rfam family "Bacterial small subunit ribosomal RNA", at positions 29 to 507 of the family's 1533-position model. The record is from RNAcentral.
AGUGAACGCUGGCGGUAGGCCUAACACAUGCCAGUCGAACGGCAGCACAGAGGAGCUUGCUCCUUGGGUGGCGAGUGGCGGACGGGUGAGGAAUACAUCGGAAUCUACUCUGUCGUGGGGGAUAACGUAGGGAAACUUACGCUAAUACCGCAUACGACCUACGGGUGAAAGCAGGGGAUCUUCGGACCUUGCGCGAUUGAAUGAGCCGAUGUCGGAUUAGCUAGUUGGCGGGGUAAAGGCCCACCAAGGCGACGAUCCGUAGCUGGUCUGAGAGGAUGAUCAGCCACACUGGAACUGAGACACGGUCCAGACUCCUACGGGAGGCAGCAGUGGGGAAUAUUGGACAAUGGGCGCAAGCCUGAUCCAGCCAUACCGCGUGGGUGAAGAAGGCCUUCGGGUUGUAAAGCCCUUUUGUUGGGAAAGAAAUCCAGCCGGCUAAUACCUGGUUGGGAUGACGGUACCCAAAGAAUAAGCACCGGCUAACUUCGUG